GACGUAGGGGGCAAGCGUUGUCCGGAAUUACUGGGCGUAAAGCGUGCGCAGGCGGUUUGUUAAGUCCGCUGUGAAAUCCCCGAGCUCAACUUGGGAAUUGCAGUGGAUACUGGCAAGCUGGAGUAUGGUAGAGGAAGGUGGAAUUCCCGGUGUAGCAGUGAAAUGCGUAGAGAUCGGGAGGAACACCAGUGGCGAAGGCGGCCUUCUGGACCAAUACUGACGCUCAUGCACGAAAGCGUGGGGAGCAAACAGG
Molecule: ribosomal RNA, 253 nt
Filed under: uncultured bacterium
Lineage: Bacteria
Description: partial 16S ribosomal RNA
Rfam family: Bacterial small subunit ribosomal RNA
Source: RNAcentral